This 464-nucleotide ribosomal RNA is filed under the name uncultured bacterium. RNAcentral describes it as "partial 16S ribosomal RNA". It matches the Rfam family "Bacterial small subunit ribosomal RNA", at positions 339 to 795 of the family's 1533-position model. The record is from RNAcentral.
CUACGGGACGCACCAGUGAGGAAUUUUGCGCAAUGGGGGAAACCCUGACGCAGCAACGCCGCGUGAGCGAAGAAGGCCUUCGGGUCGUAAAGCUCUGUCAAGUGGGAAAAAGGCCUUUCGAUUAAUACCCGAAAGGUUUGAUGGUACCACUGGAGGAAGCACCGGCUAACUCCGUGCCAGCAGCCGCGGUAAUACGGAGGGUGCAAGCGUUGUUCGGAAUUACUGGGCGUAAAGGGCGUGCAGGCGGUUUGGCAAGUCAGAUGUGAAAGCCCUGGGCUUAACCCGGGAAGUGCAUUUGAAACUGCCUUUCUUGAGUAUGGGAGAGGAGAGUGGAAUUCCCAGUGUAGAGGUGAAAUUCGUAGAUAUUGGGAGGAACACCCGUGGCGAAGGCGACUCUCUGGACCAAUACUGACGCUGAGACGCGAAAGCGUGGGGAGCAAACAGGAUUAGAUACCCUCGUAGUC